RNAcentral lists this ribosomal RNA (466 nucleotides) under uncultured bacterium. RNAcentral's name for it is "partial 16S ribosomal RNA". It matches the Rfam family "Bacterial small subunit ribosomal RNA", at positions 28 to 507 of the family's 1533-position model. The record is from RNAcentral.
GAUGAACGCUGGCGGCGUGCUUAACACAUGCAAGUCGAACGAUGAAGCCCAGCUUGCUGGGUGGAUUAGUGGCGAACGGGUGAGUAACACGUGAGUAACCUGCCCUUAACUCUGGGAUAAGCCUGGGAAACUGGGUCUAAUACCGGAUAGGAGCGUCCACCGCAUGGUGGGUGUUGGAAAGAUUUAUCGGUUUUGGAUGGACUCGCGGCCUAUCAGCUUGUUGGUGAGGUAAUGGCUCACCAAGGCGACGACGGGUAGCCGGCCUGAGAGGGUGACCGGCCACACUGGGACUGAGACACGGCCCAGACUCCUACGGGAGGCAGCAGUGGGAAAUAUUGCACAAUGGGCGCAAGCCUGAUGCAGCGACGCCGCGUGAGGGAUGACGGCCUUCGGGUUGUAAACCUCUUUCAGUAGGGAAGAAGCGAAAGUGACGGUACCUGCAGAAGAAGCACCGGCUAACUACGUG